This 178-nucleotide ribosomal RNA is filed under the name Blastococcus aurantiacus. Its description in RNAcentral is "Blastococcus sp. DSM 44268 partial 16S rRNA. Bacterial SSU". It matches the Rfam family "Bacterial small subunit ribosomal RNA", at positions 1 to 177 of the family's 1533-position model. Lineage: Bacteria; Bacillati; Actinomycetota; Actinomycetes; Geodermatophilales; Geodermatophilaceae. The record is from RNAcentral.
CAUCUACGGAGAGUUUGAUCCUGGCUCAGGACGAACGCUGGCGGCGUGCUUAACACAUGCAAGUCGAACGGUGAACCCGCUUCGGUGGGGGAUCAGUGGCGAACGGGUGAGUAACACGUGGGCAACCUGCCCUCAGCUCUGGGAUAACUCCAAGAAAUUGGGGCUAAUACUGGAUAUG